UAGGGAAUCUUCCACAAUGGGGCGAAAGCCUGAUGGAGCAACGCCGCGUGUGUGAUGAAGGGUUUCGGCUCGUAAAGCUCUGUUGUUAAAGAAGAACACGUAUGAGAGUAACUGUUCAUACGUUGACGGUAUUUAACCAGAAAGUCACGGCUAACUACGUGCCA
RNAcentral lists this ribosomal RNA (164 nucleotides) under uncultured bacterium. RNAcentral describes it as "partial 16S rRNA". It matches the Rfam family "Bacterial small subunit ribosomal RNA", at positions 355 to 510 of the family's 1533-position model. The record is from RNAcentral.